RNAcentral lists this small nuclear RNA (108 nucleotides) under Castor canadensis (American beaver). Lineage: Eukaryota; Metazoa; Chordata; Mammalia; Rodentia; Castoridae. The record is from RNAcentral.
AUGCUCACUUUGGCAUCACAUAUACUAACACUGGAAUGAUACAGAGAAGAUUAGCAUGGUCCCUGCACAAGGAUGACAUGUAAAUUCAUUGAGCAUGCUGUAUUUUUU